GACGAACGCUGGCGGCGUGCCUAAUACAUGCAAGUCGAACGCACAGUUUCUACCGUUGCUUGCUGCACCAUAGACUGUGAGUUGCGAACGGGUGAGUAACGCGUCGGUAACCUGCCUGGUAGCGUGGGAUAACUAUUGGUAACGAUAGCUAAUACCUCAUGAUGUUAAUUAUUGCAUGAUAAUUAAUUGCAAGUUGCAAUUGCCCCACUACCUAUUGGCCCUGCGUUGUAUUAGCUAGUAGGUGAGGUAACGGCUCACCUAGGCGACGAUACAUAGCCGAAAUGAGAGGGUGAGUGGCCACACUGGGACGGAGACACGGCCCAGAGUGCUACAGGAGGGAGCAGGAGGGAAACGGCAGGAAGGGAUGAAAGUCAGAGCGAGAAACGCGGAGGGAGGGAAGAAGGAUGUCGGAUCGGAAAGCUCGGUUGUAGGAGAAGAAAGGGCGUGAGAGUGGAAAGUACACACUGUGACGGUAACUGACCAGAAAGGGACGGCUAACUACGUG
RNAcentral lists this ribosomal RNA (505 nucleotides) under uncultured bacterium. RNAcentral's name for it is "partial 16S ribosomal RNA". It matches the Rfam family "Bacterial small subunit ribosomal RNA", at positions 28 to 507 of the family's 1533-position model. The record is from RNAcentral.